This 284-nucleotide unclassified non-coding RNA is filed under the name uncultured fungus. RNAcentral's name for it is "partial contains small subunit ribosomal RNA, internal transcribed spacer 1, and 5.8S ribosomal RNA". The stretch from base 1 to 73 matches the Rfam family "Eukaryotic small subunit ribosomal RNA", at positions 1759 to 1831 of the family's 1831-position model. The record is from RNAcentral. Lineage: Eukaryota; Fungi.
GCAAACUUGGUCAUUUAGAGGAAGUAAAAGUCGUAACAAGGUCUCCGUUGGUGAACCAGCGGAGGGAUCAUUACUGAGAGUUACAACUACAAACCCUUGUGAACUAUCUUCGUUACUGCUUCGGCAGGUAAUCCCAGGGCGGGAUUCUGGGCUCCUUCGGGGGCACCUGCCAGCGGUACAAUUUUUAAACUCUGAAAUUACAGCGUAUUUCUGAGUGUCAAAGAAAAUAAAUCAAAACUUUCAACAACGGAUCUCUUGGUUCUGGCAUCGAUGAAGAACGCAGC